Molecule: ribosomal RNA, 486 nt
Filed under: uncultured bacterium
Lineage: Bacteria
Description: bacterial SSU rRNA
Rfam family: Bacterial small subunit ribosomal RNA
Source: RNAcentral
AGAGUUUGAUCCUGGCUCAGAAUCAACGCUGGCGGCGUGCCUCAGACAUGCAAGUCGAACGAUUAAGACUUCCUUCGGGAAGUGCAUAAAGUGGCGCACGGGUGAGUAACACGUAAGUAAUCUACCCUCGAGUGGGAAUAACGUUCGGAAACGGACGCUAAUACCGCAUAACGCAGCGGCACCGCAAGGUGACAGUUGUUAAAGGAGCAAUCCGCUUGAGGAGGAGCUUGCGGCAGAUUAGCUAGUUGGUAGGGUAAUGGCUUACCAAGGCUACGAUCUGUAUCCGGUCUAAGAGGACGGUCGGACACACUGACACUGAAUAACGGGUCAGACUCCUACGGGAGGCAGCAGUCGGGAAUUUUGGGCAAUGGGCGAAAGCCUGACCCAGCAACGCCGCGUGAAGGAUGAAGUAUUUCGGUAUGUAAACUUCGAAAGAAUAGGAAGAAUAAAUGACGGUACUAUUUAUAAGCUCCGGCUAACUACGUG